Molecule: ribosomal RNA, 102 nt
Filed under: Acanthamoeba sp. isolate A27P27
Lineage: Eukaryota; Discosea; Longamoebia; Acanthamoebidae
Description: partial 18S ribosomal RNA
Source: RNAcentral
AGGAGACGUUGAAUACAAAACACCACCAUCGGCGCGGUCGUCCUUGGCGUCGGUCUUUCGGGGCCGGCGCGGGGGCGGCUUAGCCCGGUGGCACCGGUGAAU